ACCAACCAGGUGUUCUGGGACAUACCCAAGGCCAUAUACCUUAUCAAGGGAGACAUUGCAUCUGUUAUUUUGUUCUUCACGUUUUCUUUCCUAUAAUACUCACCCCAAACCUACCUGUUCUUUCAUAAACCAUCUAUUCAACCCUCUGAUCCAACCGGUUCAAGUUGCCUUGAUUUCCACUUCAAGAAUAACUACUACACUCCAAAGCAACCAUGGCUUUUCUAAUAAGGGUACUGCAAUUGGCUCUACUACUUGCUGUGGGUUCUCAAGUACAUGCUUACAGGCUCGUGCUUGCUGGGCCCCAGCAGCACCAGCAGUCUCCUAGCUACGAGCAGCACCGGCUGCUCGUAGCUAGACCAGCCGCUGCAGCCACAGCCGCCACUCCAGCAACAGCGGCCACUCCGGCAACAGCGGCC
This is a long non-coding RNA of Gadus morhua (Atlantic cod), 416 nucleotides long. RefSeq lists it as uncharacterized. The transcript is spliced from 3 exons. NCBI's taxonomy places the organism in Eukaryota, Metazoa, Chordata, Actinopteri, Gadiformes, Gadidae. The record is from RefSeq and is a predicted model, not a curated record.